AGAAUAUGUAUGCUUUUUCAUUUUAUAACACUUAAAUCAUCAACAAUGAGAUUUUUUCAUUGUGUGGCUAGGUCAAACCCACCGAACCGUCGCGUGCUCCUUCGAUUCGCCGAACGGAGUUGUCCACGAGCCUCAAAAUACCCUAAAAGUAUUGAGCGAAGAGAUACACGGGCAUUACGAUCAACUAUAGGAUCAAACAUUAACCUAGAAGCAAAAGGGCCAAAACUCACCUCAAGAGUAGAAAUCCUCUCCGAAGCUCCAAAGGAGAGCUAGAAUCCUUUCAAUCCAAGCCCAAGGAAGGUUCCAAUCCAAGAAAUCUAGCCCCAAAAGCCCUAGAUCAAAAAGC
RNAcentral lists this long non-coding RNA (346 nucleotides) under Ananas comosus (pineapple). Its description in RNAcentral is "long non-coding RNA (ACOM_LNC012048)". The record is from RNAcentral. Lineage: Eukaryota; Viridiplantae; Streptophyta; Magnoliopsida; Poales; Bromeliaceae.